ACGCACGUUUCGCAAGGCUCCUGCCUUUAUAACAGCGUGGUGCUGCUCCUGGCAGAUCGCUGGGCUGCCUGCAGAGCCACGGGCAGCAGCCAAUCCUCCUCACCAUGAUUCUCCUCCUGCAGUACUUCUUCAUGCUGGCCACAGACCUGGUGCUGGCCAUGACCCUCUCGUGCCUCUUCUACGCCUUCGCGUGCGCCUCCAUUGCGUUGCUGACCUGCUGCGCCAUCGUCUUCUCCUUCGGCAGCACCGAGAGGAGCGCCGACGUCAAAGGGAGAGCCAUCGUCAUCCUAGUGUCCAACAGCUCCAUCGGCAGGAUGUUUGCAAGGAACCUGGACAGAGCAGGCUUCGGGGUGUCUGCUGCUCAGUGGCCUGCCCGGGAGGAGAGGACAGUGACACAAGAGUGCCCAUCCAACAAGGAGGUAGCCCAGCUGCACCUGACCGAAGAUGAGUAUCAGAAGACAGUGAAAACCUUCAUAGAAAGCCACUUAUCCCUGAAAGGGGAAAGAGCCUGCUUUGGUGGCUGUGAAAGGCCCCAGCAGACCCCAGUCCCUGAAGGAAGGCAAGGUAGGCCAAGGAAGGAGGGGGAGAAGGUCCUAUCAAGGCACAGAGGUCUGGACUUGCUCUGAGAAGAAAACACAGAAACGAACAAUGGGGAGCAAAGCCUAGACAGUGACCUCAGGUGAAGGAACGUGUCUGAUCUUUAAUCUCUUCUGGAUUAAAAAGGAACCCAGCUGAGCUCCCUCUUGGCUUCCCGGCUGCUGUGGGAUUCCUAAG
This 774-nucleotide long non-coding RNA is filed under the name Zonotrichia albicollis (white-throated sparrow). RNAcentral describes it as "lncRNA (ENSZALG00000012059.1)". The record is from RNAcentral. Lineage: Eukaryota; Metazoa; Chordata; Aves; Passeriformes; Passerellidae.